Molecule: ribosomal RNA, 1335 nt
Filed under: metagenome
Description: bacterial LSU rRNA
Rfam family: Bacterial large subunit ribosomal RNA
Source: RNAcentral
UGAGUACGAGCGGCUACGGCCGCGAAGUGGAUGAUGUCAAGCUUCCAAGAAAAGCCCUAUACCCGUUAAGGCAUGAUGGCCUGUACCCGAAACCGACACAGGUGGGGUGGUAGAGAAUACCGAGGGGCGCGAGGUAACUCUCUAAGGAACUCGGCAAAAUGGCCCCGUAACUUCGGGAGAAGGGGUGCCACCGCGAGGUGGUCGCAGUGAAGAGGCCCAGGCGACUGUUUACCAAAAACACAGGUCUCCGCUAAGUCGCAAGACGAUGUAUGGGGGCUGACGCCUGCCCAGUGCCGGAAGGUUAAGGAAGCUGGUCAGCGCAAGCGAAGCUGGCGACUGAAGCCCCGGUGAACGGCGGCCGUAACAAUAACGGUCCUAAGGUAGCGAAAUUCCUUGUCGGGUAAGUUCCGACCCGCACGAAAGGCGUAACGAUCUGGGCGCUGUCUCGGAGAGAGGCUCGGCGAAAUAGAAUUGUCUGUGAAGAUGCGGACUACGUGCACCCGGACAGAAAGACCCUAUGAAGCUUUACUGUAGCUUGGUAUUGUGCUCGGGCUCGGAAUGCGCAGGAUAGGUGGGAGGCUUUGAUCCAUUGCUUGCGGGUGAUGGUGAGCCACUGGUGAGAUACCACUCUUUCCGAGCUAGAGUUCUAACAGCAACCCGUUAUCCGGGUGCUGGACAGUAUCAGGUGGGCAGUUUGACUGGGGCGGUCGCCUCCUAAAAGGUAACGGAGGCGCGCAAAGGUCUGCUCAGGCUGGUUGGAAAUCAGCCGACGAGUGUAAAAGCAGAAGCAGGCUUGACUGUGAGACCUACAAGUCGAACAGGGAGGAAACUCGGCUUUAGUGAUCCGACGGUUCUGCGUGGAAGGGCCGUCGCUCAACGGAUAAAAGUUACUCUAGGAUAACAGGCUGAUCUCCCCCAAGAGUUCACAUCGACGGGGAGGUUUGGCACCUCGAUGUCGGCUCAUCGCAACCUGGGGCUGAAGUCGGUCCCAAGGGUUGGGCUGUUCGCCCAUUAAAGCGGUACGCGAGCUGGGUUCAGAACGUCGUGAGACAGUUCGGUCCAUAUCCGGUGCACGCGCAGGAAUAUUGAGAGGAUUUCUCCCUAGUACGAGAGGACCGGGAGGAACGCACCUCUGGUGUGCCAGUUAUCGUGCCAACGGUAAACGCUGGGUAGCCAUGUGCGGAGUGGAUAACCGCUGAAAGCAUCUAAGUGGGAAGCCCACCUCAAGAUGAGUAUUCCCAUGGCAUAAGCCAGUAAGGUCACGGGAAGAACACCCGUUGAUAGGCUCUACGUGGAAGCGCAGUAAUGUGUGAAGCGGAGGAGUACUAAUAGACC